This 467-nucleotide ribosomal RNA is filed under the name uncultured bacterium. Its description in RNAcentral is "partial 16S ribosomal RNA". It matches the Rfam family "Bacterial small subunit ribosomal RNA", at positions 28 to 507 of the family's 1533-position model. The record is from RNAcentral.
GACGAACGCUGGCGGCGUGCUUAAUACAUGCAAGUCGAACGGAAAGGCCCUGCUUUUGUGGGGUGCUCGAGUGGCGAACGGGUGAGUAACACGUGAGUAACCUACCCUUGACUUUGGGAUAACUUCAGGAAACUGGGGCUAAUACCGGAUAGGAGCUCCUGCUGCAUGGUGGGGGUUGGAAAGUUUCGGCGGUUGGGGAUGGACUCGCGGCUUAUCAGCUUGUUGGUGGGUAGUGGCUUACCAAGGCUUUGACGGGUAGCCGGCCUGAGAGGGUGACCGGCCACAUUGGGACUGAGAUACGGCCCAGACUCCUACGGGAGGCAGCAGUGGGGAAUAUUGCACAAUGGGCGGAAGCCUGAUGCAGCAACGCCGCGUGCGGGAUGACGGCCUUCGGGUUGUAAACCGCUUUCGCCUGUGACGAAGCGUGAGUGACGGUAAUGGGUAAAGAAGCACCGGCUAACUACGUG